GUGGGAGGAGCUAGGGCUCUGACCGCGUGCCUGUUGAAGAAUGAGCCGGCGACUCAUAGGCAGUGGCUUGGUUAAGGGAAACCACCGGAGCCGUAGCGAAAGCGAGUCUUCAUAGGGCUAUUGUCACUGCUUAUGGACCCGAACCUGGGUGAUCUAUCCAUGACCAGGAUGAAGCUUAGGUGAAACUAAGUGGAGGUCCGAACCGACUGAUGUUGAAAAAUCAGCGGAUGAGUUGUGGUUAGCGGUGAAAUCAAAUAAACAAAAAUGAAGAAUCAAAGCAUGUAGUUGGGAAUGCUACUGAGGUCAAAUCCAGAGUUAAAAAGGCGAUGGCGCUUGC
Molecule: non-coding RNA, 337 nt
Filed under: Cicer arietinum (chickpea)
Lineage: Eukaryota; Viridiplantae; Streptophyta; Magnoliopsida; Fabales; Fabaceae
Description: Bacterial large subunit ribosomal RNA
Rfam family: Bacterial large subunit ribosomal RNA
Source: Rfam by way of RNAcentral